GCCAAUGUGGUGUAGUGGUUUGAGGGUUGGACUAUGACUCUGGAGGUUAGAGUUCGAUUCCCUGCUUGGCCA
Non-coding RNA from Phrynosoma platyrhinos (Desert horned lizard), 72 nucleotides. The record is from the annotation of a GenBank genome assembly. NCBI's taxonomy places the organism in Eukaryota, Metazoa, Chordata, Lepidosauria, Squamata, Phrynosomatidae.